Molecule: ribosomal RNA, 253 nt
Filed under: uncultured bacterium
Lineage: Bacteria
Description: partial 16S ribosomal RNA
Rfam family: Bacterial small subunit ribosomal RNA
Source: RNAcentral
UACAGAGGUCCCGAGCGUUGUUCGGAUUCACUGGGCGUAAAGGGUGCGUAGGCGGCGCGGUAAGUCGGGUGUGAAAUCUCGGAGCUUAACUCCGAAACUGCAUUCGAUACUGCCGUGCUUGAGGACUGGAGAGGAGACUGGAAUUUACGGUGUAGCGGUGAAAUGCGUAGAUAUCGUAAGGAAGACCAGUGGCGAAGGCGGGUCUCUGGACAGUUCCUGACGCUGAGGCACGAAGGUCAGGGGAGCGAACGGG